RNAcentral lists this long non-coding RNA (773 nucleotides) under Chinchilla lanigera (long-tailed chinchilla). Its description in RNAcentral is "lncRNA (ENSCLAG00000026546.1)". Lineage: Eukaryota; Metazoa; Chordata; Mammalia; Rodentia; Chinchillidae. The record is from RNAcentral.
CGACGUGGUUAACGUACAGCCUGGAUUCUGAGCAUGCCGACGCGUGUGCUCAGCUAGGGAGAGGUCUGCAGGGCCUUUGGGUGUUGAGUCCGGGAGUGACGGUCAGCAGAGGAACGUCACGGUGGAGCUCCCCGUUGGAGGAGAGGGACUCGGGCAGACCGCAUGCUGCGUGGGCUCGAAGGAGUUCCCAGUCAGAGGGCAGAUGGAGGACACGGGGUGGAACACUGCCGAGAGACGACCAGAGUGACCAGGGCUUCUGGGUGAACCAGCAUGCGAGGACUCUAGCUGAAGCAGCCCGAGCGAUCAGACACAAAGUAGGUGUCGAACGUGAUAGAUCAAGGCCAUGUCCAGGGUGCUGUAGGGAGCUCCCGUCAGGUCCUGGGGAGAGAGGAGAACCCGCCUGCUCCUCCUCACGUCCUCUCCAGUCCACUCCCAGCGCUCAGGGGACCUGUCCGCGGGGGCGGCUGUCCGUUUGCAAGCCCCACGCAGUGCAGAACCUAUCUGUGACUGGAAAGACCAACAAAAUUCCAGAAGCUCUAAUGUCUACGCUGACUUACUCUCUAGGAAUAAGAUUCAGGGGCUCAGGAGAGUAUUCUAAUUUCUCCUCAGAUCAGAAGGAAAACUAAAAUAUUUUUAGAAAAGAAAAACGUUUAUGUAUAUUUAUAUAAUUGACAAUUUUCUAGCUCAAUUAUAUUGCAAAAUUUAAUGUGAAUAUUUUACAGGAGAACGUGGCCCAUGCGUGCACAAAUGCAGUGGCCCCAAUAAUUAUAACA